Non-coding RNA from Ictidomys tridecemlineatus (thirteen-lined ground squirrel), 72 nucleotides. Lineage: Eukaryota; Metazoa; Chordata; Mammalia; Rodentia; Sciuridae. The record is from Rfam.
GGAGGUGUGGCUCAGUGGUAGAGCAGCUUGCUUGGUAUGCAAGAGGCCCUGGGUUUCAUCCCAGUACCACAA